UCCCAUUCACAUGAUGCUCAUAGUUAAACUGCCAAUUCCAUUUACUACAUAUGGCUUUGGAAACAGUAUUGGCUUUUGGGCAUUUGACUCUAGUCUCAACUAGGCCAACAAAAGAAAUACUAUGCUUAUACAAAAGAGCUAGGACACUAUCCUGCUUGGACUUCAUAUUUACACCUCUAAUAUUCAUAGAGCAAAAAUUAACCAUAAAAAGGUUAAGGUUAAAAUGGGGCAGGCCUCCCCCCUCCUUUGAUCUUUUUCUUUGAAGACUAGCCAGAUUCCGAACCAGCUCGAGCUUUCGCCUUAAGAUCACGACCUGCCUUUUCAUCAACCAUUUUCAGCUUUCCCACAAGGGGAUUUGGAGAAGGGGAGCAGUCAGAAUCAGAAAACCCCUCCUUAGCCUCCCCACCAGCAGCAAUAGGCUUGAAGACAUUGGAGUUACCAACCAAAGAGAGAUCACAAUUGGGAACCUGCUGUUUAGGUCCUUUAGCCACCAAAGUCCAGUUAUCGGAAGAAUUUUCUGUAACGGGCUUUGGGAGAACAGGAGAAAUAGGGGCAACAGCCAUAGAGUCUGAAGAAGAUUUUUGGACUUUAGGCAGCCAUUGGUAGUUUGCUUUAGGACAACGCAGAAGAGAGUGCCCAAACGUUUUACAGUGAGAACAGAUUUGAGGUCAAUUUUGGUACUCCACUCUGACAUUUACAAUCUUUUCAGAGUUAGUUUCCUCAUCAAGAACUACCACUUCCAGAGAGCUAGGCAAAGCCAAAGAGGGUGUUAUUUCAACACAAAUCCUAGCAAAAUUCAUAGGUUCUAGUUUUUCUGUGAUUUUAUCCACAAACAGUGGAACACCAACCCCACUAGCAAGGUAACUGAGCCCAGCUGGAGACCAAUAAGACAUGGGGAUGUUAAGGAAUUUAACCCAGAUAGGAGCUUUAGCACAGGAG
This 939-nucleotide long non-coding RNA is filed under the name Panax ginseng (ginseng). Its description in RNAcentral is "long non-coding RNA (PGIN_LNC017038)". Lineage: Eukaryota; Viridiplantae; Streptophyta; Magnoliopsida; Apiales; Araliaceae. The record is from RNAcentral.